This 304-nucleotide ribosomal RNA is filed under the name uncultured fungus. RNAcentral's name for it is "eukaryotic LSU rRNA". The stretch from base 1 to 71 matches the Rfam family "5.8S ribosomal RNA", at positions 84 to 154 of the family's 154-position model. Lineage: Eukaryota; Fungi. The record is from RNAcentral.
GUGAAUCAUCGAGUCUUUGAACGCACAUUGCGCCCUUUGGUAUUCCGAAGGGCAUGCCUAUUCGAGCGUCAUUAUCAACCCUCAAGCCCGGCUUGUUAUUGGGUCUCUUAUCGUGAAAGAUAGGCCCGAAAGAUAAUGGCGGCGUCGUGAAUGACCCCAGGUGCAGCGAGCUUAUAGCAUACACUGAGGUGGUCGUUUACGUCCCGGCCCUCCUGUUUGUCAAGUUUACUUCGACCAAUUUCAAAGGUUGACCUCGGAUUAGGUAGGAAUACCCGCUGAACUUAAGCAUAUCAAUAAGCGGAGG